CCACACACUUAUAAAGAGGAACCCAAGAAGUUGACUCAGUAUAGUAGCUAGUUUUUAGAUGUAACAUAAUACAUGUACGAUCAUCUCUGACUUUAAUCCUAAGCUACAAAAGGUUUGCCUUGAAUUUGUCUUGAAUUGCAGAUGAUGGCACGCAACAGUACAAGUUCCAGUGGACUGACAACUGUUACUGAAGGCCAAGACAACGGACAAAGACCAGAAACUGUUGCACUGAUAGUGUGUCUGCCUCUGCUUGUGUUUGUAGUUUUAGUUCCAUUGCUGGGAUAUAUUAUCCAUCGUAAAAUCAAACACAUUUCACGCUCAGAACAACUCCCUAAAAUGGAGGGAGCGUCUCAGCAAACACCCGACUCACAUUACAUUGCUGCUCCGGCUCUGGUAGCUCCAUCUACUGUACAAAAUCCCAUCUAUGAGAAUGUCCACAGAGGAUUUCAAGAUGUUUCUCCCAAAAGGCAAUAUAAUCCAGCCACUUCAGUAAUGCCAAGUGGGCAUGAUGACGAUCCGUACAUGAACUGUGAUGUCGCAGAUGAAGCAGUUUACAGCAAUGAUCCAUCUUUCCAAUGUGAAUACAACAUCGAAGACGACUACGUUGUUCCUGACACUUUAUAGGUGUCACAUAAUUAUAUGUUUGUAGCUGAACAUAUAUUUAGGCCUACAUCAGGUUUCUAAAAAGGAAUACAACACUGCAUUUUGUCAUUUCUUGGGAAAAAGUGGCUGUAGACCAUCUACGAAAUUUCCCUUCAUCGUCUUGUCUUGUCUCAUCUCAUCUCAGUUCCCAUCUCUGAUCACUUAUCCAGUACCGGGUCGGGGGAAUAUAGAAGUAUUAUUAUAUAUUUUUCCCUUUUUGUGGAUCGGUAAAGACAACGUGCCAAAUGAAUGUUUUUAAGUUUUGCUUUCCUUCCCGAAACACUCAGCAAUUUCUUUCAAUUUUAAGGAACUAAAAUCUGUGUUUUGCACGUGCCAGCGUUCUUCCAUGUCAUUUAAUGAGCUGUUUUUUUUUAUAAGUGCUUCGUUGUCACACUGGAUUUACAGGACUGCAAAAAAAAAUAUCUGAAACUGCCCAUAUAGUAAUAUUAUUGGGACAACUAUAUAUCCAGCGUCAAUAAAUGACUGUAAAACCCAGGAAAGAAUUCUUCCUGCUGUUUUGCUAUUCGAAGUUUUGAUUCAAGUUUUCAAAUUUAGUUUAUUAUAAAACACCUUUUCAAAAAGCGUGCUUCUGUACAAAAUUAUGAAAGAGAAAGCUGCGGUGUUGUGGUGAAUAAGACAUUUCAACAACAUGCAAUUGUGUGGUUUUUAACUACAGCAAAUAAUCGAGUCCAUUAGACUAUGGUUUGAUUUGAAUGUGGGAGGGGUUUUGCAGCAUGUAAAACGUUUUAUUUACUUUCGGUUCGUUCAUAAACACGCUGUAGCCCUCUUUGGCUUCUUUGAUGAGCUGAAGGCGCCAUCUUGUGGACUCUUACAAAUGAACCCAUUCCCUGCUUCA
Long non-coding RNA from Paramormyrops kingsleyae, 1498 nucleotides. RefSeq lists it as uncharacterized. Lineage: Eukaryota; Metazoa; Chordata; Actinopteri; Osteoglossiformes; Mormyridae. The record is from RefSeq and is a predicted model, not a curated record.